Pseudophryne corroboree (corroboree frog) is the source of this 446-nucleotide long non-coding RNA. RefSeq lists it as uncharacterized. The transcript has 4 exons. The record is from RefSeq and is a predicted model, not a curated record. NCBI's taxonomy places the organism in Eukaryota, Metazoa, Chordata, Amphibia, Anura, Myobatrachidae.
ACUGUGACCUGUAGAAGGAGUGCAGCCGCUGCGUUACAAGAGGAAGGACCGGCUCUGCAAGUGCGCACCUCAGUCUUCAGCAGCUAUCACUCCCUGGAUUCUGGCUUCUGCCGUUGAGUGUGAUCAAAACGUUAGCGCGUCAGCUGGACGGACCGGCGCUACGUCAUUUCCGGAGAGACGGGGGGAUGCGGCCGGGAUCCGGGCGGCGUGGACUACGCUGGCGGGAGGAGUCAUCCUGGUUUUAAGCGUUAGCGCGUCAGCUGGACGGACCGGCGCUACGUCAUUUCCGGAGAGACGGGGCGAUGCGGCCGGGAUCCGGGCGGCGUGGACUACGCUGGCGGGAGGAGUCAUCCUGGUUUUAAGAUGGACAUAUGCAAUAUACUGAAAUAUGUACAAACUGUUAAUGCAAAGACCAUUCAACUAUCAAGAUUUUUGCUUGUUUUUUA